RNA transcript from Brachypodium distachyon (stiff brome), 2270 nucleotides. It is a transcript of the gene named reticulon-like protein B17, with no coding region annotated. NCBI's taxonomy places the organism in Eukaryota, Viridiplantae, Streptophyta, Magnoliopsida, Poales, Poaceae. The transcript is spliced from 9 exons. The record is from RefSeq and is a predicted model, not a curated record.
ACCACCGGUUAGAAGGGGCGAAGCUUCAAAUUUGGAACCCGCUGCCGGAUGUUUCCAUCUCCAAAACCCCAGACCCAGCUCGCCGCAGAGCAAAUCAAUGGAAAUAUAGCCCUAUUCACCGAGCCGUCCACCCCCUGAUCCUCCUAUGCCGAGCCCUGUUGACGUCGACAUCGCCGACGCUACUGCUCGGCAUGAUCCCGCGUCCCCUUUCCCGGUCAUCUCCCCUUGGGGGGACGUGCUCCCGCUUUCCCCUGCCCGCGACAGCCCCAUUCGGCGCCGUCGGUCCAAGCUUCUUCUUCGCGAUUCGUCCGUCGACAAAGGCGCAGGGGCUGCCGGGUCUCCACGAAAGAAGCGCCGCGGGGCGGGGGAGGCGCGCACAGCGGCGUCGCCCGGAAAGAAUGUCAGGAGGGCGCGGCGGCGGCUAGAGAAUGGCGGCAGGAGGGAGGAGACGGGGAACGAGGCGGCGGCGGCGGAGGAAGCGGUGGGUAAGACCCGGAGAAAGAAGACCGCGGCGCAGCCUCCGGCUGCCAAGGGAUUGGUAGCAAUCGUCAAGGAGAAGAAGGUGUCGGGCCUGGCUUUGGUGCCUUAUCCUCGUACCAAUCUAACCCAAGGUCCAGAGAAUGUAGAGCAGUCUGACUGGGAAGGUCUUUGGGAAAUGGUUGUCGAAUUGGUGAUGUGGAAGAAUGUUGGGCGAUCAGCAUUUUGGUUUGGCUCUGGAUCUAUGCUUUUCCUCUCUUCAUCCUUUUCAAGGGACAUCGAUUUCAGUCCAAUCAAGGUACUUUGCAACUUUGGUGUUGUAACGUUGGGCUUAGCCUUCUUCAAAGAUUCCAUUUCUCAGAGCUGUAACAGGCAGAACAUGGAGCGUGCAAGGAGUUUCCAGUUGACCGAGGAGGAUGUACUCCAGGUUGCCAAAGCGGUCUUGCCAGUUGCUAACUCCUUCAUAACCAUGACCCGAGUGAUCUUCUCUGGCGAUCCAUCCAUGACUCUGAAAGUGUUACCCGUUCUUCUGUUUGGUGCUAAAUAUGGGCAUCUGUUCACAGUAUGGAGGCUUCUAGCAACAGGUUUUUUUGGUUGUUUUACACUUCCAAGACUUUAUAGCUGCUACUCGAGUCAUAUUCAUGAAAAAGUUGGGGGUUUAAAAACCCAGAUUCUGAAUGCAUGGAAGUCCUGUCCCCGCAAGAAACUUGUUGCAGCUGCUGCAGUGACAACCUUCUGGAAUAUGGUUGGUGUGAAGACACGCAUAAUGGCUGAACUCAUGACAGUGCUGUUACCAAGUAGGCUGACAUUAAGAGUCUACAUGGCAAAAUGAAGCCCAUAGCGUUGCCACAUUACUUAUCGACGUGGACAGCCCGUCCGCACCUUAUCAGGCUUGAGGGGGCUGCCCCGUUCAACAUAAUCAGGUGCCACUUGCCGUCAGCAGCAGGGAGGAGGCAAGUGGAGAAUAGCAUGCAGGUGAGUGACAACAAGCAAAUCGAUCACCUUGACAAUGUGUGAGCGCUGUGGCCCAGGAACGUGGUCACUUGGGGGUGGAUUUGGGGAUUAGGUUGUAUUUAGAAUGGGAUUUGAGGAGACCGGAUUGACUUGUGGCACUGAUUCAUCCUGGCCAGCGAAAUUGAUGACGGUCAUCUGCCACUGCCAUCUUCUGGGGUUCUGCUCACCUGCUCUGUUUGCGGCGGAGGGACCGGGCGGAAUGAACUUGUUGACCACCCGCAGACCUUGGUUGCUGCAGUAACACUGCGCUACUACGAUCAGUAUGGACGAACUAGCAAGAAUUCUGAGGGGGUAAUACAGGAGCAGCGACAAGCAACUGUGAUGGAAGACUAACAAGCUACCUCAUGUGCAGCCCAAUAAACAGAUGCCGACAUAACUGAGUAUUUCUGUGGUUCUUAGUGUGGGCAAAAAUAUGCUGCAAAAUUGCAUCCUCUAGAGCGCUUCAAUGGCUACAAAACUGUUUGCUAUUUACUGGUAGCUGUACAUCUUGUUGCUGCAGAGUCAGAGAUGGUAGUAUUUUGGCGAGGAAGCUACAUUUCAGCGUACCUGAAACCAGGAAGGUAUCAUGUACGAGUACAAUGCACGCAUGAUCGCUUGACACACAUGUUGCUGUUAUAUUCGUGUCAAGCCUGAUGUGCUGUUUCUGGUUGGCAAAGCCCCAAUUCCUCUUUUGCUUUGAGCGAGUCUCAUCUGGCAGUGUGAAUAUAAGCCUUACUAUAGAGGCCUGGAUUGAAUGUCCACAUGUUAGAUUCUUUUGCAGGCAUCUCUUGGUUUGUUGA